CAAUAGCGUAUAUUAAAGUUGUUGCAGUUAAAAAGCUCGUAGUUGGAUUUGUGGCGUACGGUGUGUUCCGGGCACUUGUUGUCUGAGUAACCUGCUGUUGCCAUCCUUGGGUGGAACCUGUGUGGCAUUAGGUUGUCGUGCAGGGGAUGCCCAUCAUUUACUGUGAAAAAAUUAGAGUGUUCAAAGCAGGCUUAUGCCGUUGAAUAUAUUAGCAUGGAAUAAUGAGAUAGGACUUUUUUGCUAUUUUGUUGGUUUGCGCAAAGAGGUAAUGAUUAAUAGGGACAGUUGGGGGUAUUCGUAUUCCAUUGUCAGAUGUGAAAUUCUUGGAUUUUUGGAAGACGAACUACUGCGAAAGCAUUUACCAAGGAUGUUUUCAUUAA
RNAcentral lists this ribosomal RNA (380 nucleotides) under uncultured eukaryote. RNAcentral's name for it is "partial 18S ribosomal RNA". It matches the Rfam family "Eukaryotic small subunit ribosomal RNA", at positions 592 to 976 of the family's 1831-position model. The record is from RNAcentral.